GGGCCUGUGAUCUAGUGGCUAUGAUGUCGCCUUUACACGGCGAAUAUCCCCAGUUCGAAUUUUAGCGAAAGUCUGGGCAGGCCCA
RNAcentral lists this transfer RNA (85 nucleotides) under Candidatus Woesearchaeota archaeon. RNAcentral's name for it is "tRNA-Val". The record is from RNAcentral. Lineage: Archaea; Nanobdellati; Candidatus Woesearchaeota.